AGAGUUUGAUCAUGGCUCAGAACGUACGCUGGCGGCACGCCUAAUACAUGCAAGUCGAACGCAGUAGCAAUACUGAGUGGCAGACGGGUGAGUAUAAUGUGGGAAUAUGCCUUUUGGUUUGGAAUAACUCGGGGAAACUUGAGCUAAUACCGAAUAAGCCCUUACGGGGAAAGAUUCAUCGCCGAAAGAUUAGCCCGUACUUGAUUAGCUUGUUGGUGAGGUAAAAGCUCACCAAGGCAACGAUCAAUAGCUGUUCUUAGAGGAAGACCAGCCACAUUGGGACUGAGACACGGCCCAGACUCCUACGGGAGGCAGCAGUAGGGAAACUUGCACAAUGGGGGAAACCCUGAUGCAGCGAUGCCGCGUGAGUGAAGAAGGCCUUUGGGUUGUAAAACUCUUUCGUCGGGGAAGAAAAUGACUGUACCCGAAUAAGAAGGUCCGGCUAACUUCGUGCCAGCAGCCGCGGUAAUACGAAGGGAUCUAGCGUAGUUCGGAAUUACUGGGCUUAAAGAGCUCGUAGGUGGUUAAAAAAGUUGGUGGUGAAAUCCCAAGGCUCAACCUUGGAACUGCCAUCAAAACUUUUUAGCUAGAGUGUGAUAGAGGAAAGUGGAAUUUCUAGUGUAGAGGUGAAAUUCGUAGAUAUUAGAAAGAACACCAAAAGCGAAGGCAACUUUCUGGAUCACUACUGACACUGAGGAGCGAAAGCAUGGGUAGCGAAGAGGAUUAGAUACCCUCGUAGUCCAUGCUGUAAACGAUAUGUGCUAGACGUUGGAAAUUUAAUUUUCAGUGUCGCAGCAAAAGCGUUAAGCACACCGCCUGGGGAGUACGACCGCAAGGUUAAAACUCAAAUAAAUUGACGGGGACCCGCACAAGCAGUGGAGCAUGUGGUC
Molecule: ribosomal RNA, 890 nt
Filed under: uncultured bacterium
Lineage: Bacteria
Description: bacterial SSU rRNA
Rfam family: Bacterial small subunit ribosomal RNA
Source: RNAcentral